Long non-coding RNA from Oreochromis niloticus (Nile tilapia), 5149 nucleotides. RefSeq lists it as uncharacterized. The transcript is spliced from 4 exons. The record is from RefSeq and is a predicted model, not a curated record. Lineage: Eukaryota; Metazoa; Chordata; Actinopteri; Cichliformes; Cichlidae.
ACACACACACACACAGAUAUCCAGGCACAGAUGCAUGCACAUGCGUUAACAACAUUAGCAGAUCUAGACACGAUUAACUCUGCAAUCUGAGACACUGAUGCAUGCACACCCAUGGGAUUACAUAGCAUGAACACGUGACAUCACAAAACGCUGUGAGAAAACAAACUGGAUUUAAAAUUAAUGCACUUCUGUCAGGACAGAGGACACCCUGUUUUGAUUGUGACAGAGACACAAAGCAGCUUUGUGUUAACUCAGUUAUUGUAUCUUCCACCCAAAUACCUGGCAUUGCCAUACCAUUUCCUCAUUUCAGCCCAAAGCUAAACACCCAGCGUUGCUCGUUUUCAUUCAUUCCUCGCUGGCAUUAAAGAAACAGUCCAAGCAUCCUUGAUUAACUUUGGUUAGCCUUUCCUGAUGAACGGAUAAAGGUUGAGAUACUGAGAGGGAGAGAAAUGGGAGCAGACAGUCGUCCAUGUUGUCACACAGUGAUUUAUGGAGGUAAUUAUACCUCUGCUCUUCUGCAUGAGCACACCGCACACUUCUCAGGAAUUAGCUCUUACAUGGAUGGGGAAAAGUUGGGAUUUCGAAAAAAAAUUUGUUUUUAAAGCCACACCCGGACACCGAAAACCCACUGUUUGUAGUUACAAAAAAAAACAAAAAAAACACCUCAAACACACAAUCACACACCAAACCCUCCUCCUUUCUCCUGCUGAGUGUUCAUAUUGCUGGGAAACAGCCGUUAAACAACCUCACGCCUACUUUUAUCACUGCCCAGCAGUGCUCUAGACUGUUCUUCUACAUCACUGCACGCAGCCAGUCUCCGCUGAACGUUGCCCUUCAUAAAAUCGGUUCCAUCCACCUCACGCGUGAUGCUUGCAACAAAAGGCAAUCAGAGCACAAUAAAAAUGUGAUCAUUCAAACUAUAUAGCACAUUGUUUUGGACUGCAUCAUGUUGCCAGUAUGUAGGCCAGGAUGAGUUGGUCUUAGGAGCAGAAUCAUUCAAAGGCCUUUAAAAUCAUGUUUUGAAGGUUACUUUCUGCUUGUAUUUAACCAUUACACUCAUAAACAAUCGGAAAGCGACAAGGCCCGAUCCACAGGACAUGAACAGGGGACAGUCACAAAGGACGUGACUUUAGAUGUGUUCAAAAGGGAAAAGGGAGGGUGAAAUAUUUCCUGAGGAGCAUUUUUUUUUUUUUUUUUUUAUCCUGACCUACUAAGCCAACGUGCUUUUUAACACCACAGCCCUGACUUCAUUCAAUAGGACCUCAGUAGACUUCCUUGAAAAGCAGUGACUGACAAAAAACACACUCAUUUAAACCAGGCUCUGUGGCUUAGUUAGUUUGCACUGGGCUUAGUCACAUGAUGGGGGUCACAUGUGGAAGUCAUCCUGUUGGGCUACUUCCUCAUCUGUGGUCACAUGAGUCUUCAUUCACUUUAUUGUGGCUGUAUGUGUGUUUGUGCAUGCCCUACAUUGAGAAAUAUUAAUCAUGGAAAACAGUGAUACUAGUGUGAACACACAGCAUCAGUGUUUGCCCUACAAAGACACACAAAGAACCACAUGGAGACGGGGAGUUACACCGUCUAGACAACAUUAAUCAGAAAACAUGAUGACUGAAUUGAUGAUGAGGUUUUCGCAGACUUGCUCAUGUACAUUUUUCCCAUGAAAUCAUUUGUUUUGUUUUGCUUUUUUCAAACAAAUGACCAAUCAUUUUCUGUUAAUUACAGUCCUGAGACAAGAUAAUGAAAAGGGUGAGGAUUUACUGACCACUGAUGUGGCAGAUUUUUAACAGGAUAAACUAUACAGUAAAUCAAAAAUAGCUCAAAAUUUUAAACCUUAAAUUAAUUCUUAUAAAAUCCCUGGGAAAAUAAGCUCAGAACGGCUCUUAAAUACAUAUGAAAACAAAACGGACAGAGGUGCUACAGAAUUUCCAUAAUAUUUGAUAUGAGGAAUUAGCAUCAAAACAGCCCGCAGCAACAGACGUACAACCCAGAAAACACGCGUUCCAAGUGUGAAUGAAACGAAACGAUAUGUUGUUGUAGGGCUGCUGAAAAGAGGAUGGUUAUAAAACAGGAAAUACAGAAUGAUUUCUAAAACUGUUGUGUGUUGGAUCUGUAAAAAGCCAACAUAGUGAGCCGUGCAGACUGAGCACGAGGGUGCACUUGCUACGUUCAAUGUGAAAGGGUCCAUUUUGGGUUAGUGCAAGCAUUGCAUCCUGCAGGAAUGUAAUGUGGUUGCAGUGUUUGUAUGUACAGUGUGUGUGUGCUUGGAGGAGAAAUCUGGGAGUAGACUGGGAGGAGGUUACACAAAACACAGAGCAGAUUGGGCUGUGAUUAGGGCAUGUGAAGUAGGUGCAAGCUUUGAUGACUUCAUUCAAAAACACAGAAAUGAAUGGACAAUCUGGUGCAGAUAGCAUCCACAUGUGGUUGUGUACUCUGUGAAUCAUGCAGCAACGUAUGUAGAAACAAACAGGAGGUAAAUGCAUGUCUGUGCAGAAAUUGCAGCUCUUUAAAUGUGACACACCAACACGCAGGCCCUCCUGUGAGUCGGUAAAAGGAAAUUAUAAUGACAAGAGCUUUAGCUAACUCCUCCAGCAUUCACAGCAUUACGUAAGAUUGUACUGGUGAGUGGACCCACUAACCCCACUAUUUGAUAUGGGCUAUAACCCUCUGACACAGAACGCACAAAUGAUUCAUUACCAAAGCGCAGAUAAACAAAAAUCCGGCUCAAGCUAGCUUAUAAAUCCUUAUCGGCCAGCACUUUGUUUAGAGAUAAAACGCAUGUUCUUAAACAACAGCACUUUUGAACUUGAGGUGAUUUCAAUUUCAGGACGCCAAAUUUAGAUAGGAACAUGAUUCGCCAAACCUUACUCUGGCUCACACAUUGUCUUUGGGACUAACCCCCCUUCAAAAAAACAAACAAACAAAAACCCACAAUGGCACAAAUCAGUUCACCGAAUGGCAUCUGUAAACUAACUGACCUACGUGACGUCCUAAUGUUGCUCCGCUGCCAAGAAACCCAUGCCAGUGCGUGGGUUAAAGGCUUCAGUUUGUAUUGCGACACAAAAAAAGCGACGCGGCCGCAUUUAAAACACAAAUCUGGCUGAAGAGAGACAGCAUGGGAGAGAGAGUGUGUGCUGGAGUUAGGAGUGAGAGCAAAGUGGAUUAGAUGUGUAUACCAACGAACGCUGUGGCACGAUAAGCUGCAGGAAGGUUGGACACGCUGCCCUGCUGUAGUACUGUUGUGACUCACACAAAAACACCCACACUUGCGCAUGCACAAAAUACAAAUCUGUGUAUGAAAGAAGUGUGUGAGUGCAAACAGACAUGCAAAAGGAAAAAAAUGAGGAACGUGAACCAGUGAUUAUGCAAGAUCACAUCCAUAACAAUAACACAACAAACACACACACACACACACACACACACACACAGGUGAGCUGCAUUCUGACUUUCCUCAUCCGGUCUCUGCAGCAUGCUCAGCUCCCGUUUGGCACACAGCACAGGGCAGCUCUUGGCAAAGUGUUUACUCGCAAAUUAAAGUGAGACAUUUCAUGAGCUAAAUGGAAGCCUGAGAUGCUCUUAUUGAGUGAUCAGAUGAUAAAGGAAGCCUGCCUUGCUUUCUUACAAAAAUGCUGAUUUAUUUAAAAACAAAAUAAAGGAAGAAAAAAAGACUGCGCUCAGUGUGAACACUUACCACCCAAAAGCAUAAAAGUGCACACGAGCGCACACUAAAACACAACGCAAUACAAAAAAAUCAAAUCCUCUUUUCUUUCAUCCCAAUCUCUCCCUCCUCCUUAUACUUGAGGCUAAAACGAUCAGCAGUUUAAUGACUUUGAGAGAAUGCGAAAACAUAAUGGCGGACAAUUUUGUCCAAAAUAAAUAAAAUAAAAACAAUCCUUUCACGUCUACGUCAGGCUCUUCCAGCUGCCAUGCAAUGCAGCUGAAAACAAAGGCAUGUGUGCUGCCAAAGUGCACUGCUGCAAAGAGCCCAAAUACUGCUCAUGUUUCAUAAUAUUCAACCCCUGUGUGUGUGUGUGUGUGUGUGUGUGCAUGUGUGUGUGUAUACACAGUCUCCUACAGCACAAACGCCUUCCUGUUAACUCUGCUCUGAUUCGUCUCCCCCGUAACGUGCACUGUGUUGGAGGGGGGGAGCAGCUACAACCCAAUGAGAGAAAAACGGGUGAAUUACUGACGGCAAAUGCAGCAGCAGCACGAGGGUCUAUUUGAGAGAGGCAGCUGUCUUCCUGGAAAGAGUUGUUUUUUUUCUCUUCUCGCUUACUCAGAAACAGAGGCCCUUCCUUCCGUUAUGCAGCCCAGCUAAUACAAUGAAAAAUGAGGUGUUUUUUUAAUCCAACAUUCAACAUUCUCCCUCCUCUUCCUCCUUUAUGUACACACACAAUCUCUCUUCCUCUCUCUCUUCUGCUUUGUGUGUGUAGCUGCUGCAUGCCUGCUAGUGUGUUUAUUUCUGGAAGCUCACAACAUGGCCGACAUGUGCUUUGUUAUUGUUAGUACAACAUCAUAUCUCUCGGCCUAUAAGGGCUGUUCCCCUGCCCCCAUCCCACCCAAAACAAGCAGAGCAGGUAGCCUUAAAGAAACACCAGCCUAAACAACAUUCUGUGUCUAAAGAGAAGAAGGAAGGGACAUGAGAAGAAGGACAACAGAUGCUCUCUAAGGAUACAGGAAGACCUGCAGUGUUAAAAACGAAAGUCUCCUCUGCUACAAAAAAAAGCCCUUGAGAUGUGUGCUUUGGUUCUGCUGAGGGACAGUGGGAAUCCUGGCAACAAUAAGGACAGCUGUACAAACAUUUGCCUGUCUCACCAGCAAGCCCUUUGUCAAGAUCCUAAAUAAACCUGGAAACAUUAUAGAAAUCAGGCUUCCUUGAAGGGAUGUGUCACCUGGCCUGCAUGCGCAGGCUCUACAAGCUUUGUAGAGCCUGAAGGGCUUGCUGGUGCAGUACGAUGAAAAGCUAGCUCUUCUCGGCCUCUGGACUCCAAAUGUUCAAGCUUCACGCAGAUGUGUUGCUAAAGUACUUGCAUCCAAUGUUUCAAGAGCAAGAUAAGAUGCCAACCUGUCCCAGUCUUUCACACAUUUUGCAAAACAGUUUUGCAUGAUACUCCAUGAGCCUGUGACAAUAAAAAGGGGGAGAAAAGUGUAC